ACACGGGAAAAGUUGUCAUCCA
Molecule: non-coding RNA, 22 nt
Filed under: Arabidopsis thaliana (thale cress)
Lineage: Eukaryota; Viridiplantae; Streptophyta; Magnoliopsida; Brassicales; Brassicaceae
Source: RNAcentral